This 291-nucleotide ribosomal RNA is filed under the name uncultured microorganism. Its description in RNAcentral is "partial 16S ribosomal RNA". It matches the Rfam family "Archaeal small subunit ribosomal RNA", at positions 330 to 621 of the family's 1478-position model. The record is from RNAcentral.
GUGCAGCAGGCGAGAAUACUUCACAAUGUGCGAAAGCACGAUGAGGGAAUCCCAAGUGCUUGCACGUAAGUGUAAGCUGUUUCUCUGUACUAAAACGCAGAGAGAGUAAGGGCUGGGUAAGACGGGUGCCAGCCGCCGCGGUAAUACCUGCAGCUCGAGUGGUGACCGUUAUUAUUGGGCCUAAAACGUCCGUAGCCGGUUUAAUAAAUGCCUGGGUAAAUCGGACCGCUUAACGGUUCGAAUUCCGGGUAGACUGUUAAACUUGAGACCGGGAGAAGUUAGAGGUACUCC